This 99-nucleotide ribosomal RNA is filed under the name Vibrio cholerae. The record is from RNAcentral. Lineage: Bacteria; Pseudomonadati; Pseudomonadota; Gammaproteobacteria; Vibrionales; Vibrionaceae.
UGGCGACCAUAGCGUUUUGGACCCACCUGACUCCAUUCCGAACUCAGAAGUGAAACGAAACAGCGUCGAUGGUAGUGUGGGGUCUCCCCAUGUGAGAGU